Molecule: ribosomal RNA, 671 nt
Filed under: uncultured Methanomicrobiaceae archaeon
Lineage: Archaea; Methanobacteriati; Methanobacteriota; Methanomicrobia; Methanomicrobiales; Methanomicrobiaceae
Description: bacterial SSU rRNA
Rfam family: Archaeal small subunit ribosomal RNA
Source: RNAcentral
ACUGGGGAUAUGUCCCAUAGGCUACGGAUGCUGGAAUGCUCUGUAGCUCAAAGAUUUAUCGCCACAGGAUAGGUCUGCGGCUGAUUAGGUAGUUGUUGGGGUAACGGCCCAACAAGCCUUUGAUCGGUACGGGUUGUGGGAGCAAGAGCCCGGAGAUGGAUUCUGAGACACGAAUCCAGGCCCUACGGGGCGCAGCAGGCGCGAAAACUUUACAAUGCGGGAAACCGUGAUAAGGGAACUCCGAGUGUCCGUAAAUGCGGACUGUCCGUAUGUCUAAAAAGCAUGCGAAGAAAGGGCCGGGCAAGACCGGUGCCAGCCGCCGCGGUAAUACCGGCGGCUCGAGUGGUGGCCACUAUUAUUGGGCUUAAAGCGUUCGUAGCUGGAUCGUUAAGUCUCUUGGGAAAUCUACCGGCUUAACCGAUAGGCGUCCAAGGGAUACUGGCGAUCUAGGGACCGGGAGAGGUGAGGGGUACUUCAGGGGUAGGAGUGAAAUCCUGUAAUCCUUGGGGGACCACCUGUGGCGAAGGCGCCUCACCAGAACGGCUCCGACAGUGAGGGACGAAAGCUGGGGGAGCAAACCGGAUUAGAUACCCGGGUAGUCCCAGCCGUAAACGAUGCGCGUUAGGUGUAUCGAUGACCACGAGUCAUCGAGGUGCCGAAGGGAAACCGUG